Molecule: ribosomal RNA, 437 nt
Filed under: uncultured bacterium
Lineage: Bacteria
Description: bacterial SSU rRNA
Rfam family: Bacterial small subunit ribosomal RNA
Source: RNAcentral
CGGAGGCAGCAGUGAGGAAUAUUGGACAAUGGGCGCAAGCCUGAUCCAGCAAUGCCGCGUGAGUGAGGAAGGCCUUAGGGUUGUAAAGCUCUUUCGCACGCGACGAUGAUGACGGUAGCGUGAGAAGAAGCCCCGGCUAACUUCGUGCCAGCAGCCGCGGUAAUACGAAGGGGGCGAGCGUUGUUCGGAUUUACUGGGCGUAAAGGGCGCGCAGGCGGCUAUUUUUGUCAGGCGUGAAAGCCCCGGGCUUAACCUGGGAACAGCGCUUGAGACGGGAUAGCUAGAGAUCGGGAGAGGAGAGUGGAAUUCCCAGUGUAGAGGUGAAAUUCGUAGAUAUUGGGAAGAACACCGGUGGCGAAGGCGGCUCUCUGGACCGAUACUGACGCUGAGGCGCGAAAGCGUGGGGAGCAAACAGGAUUAGAAACCCCAGUAGUCCC